Molecule: unclassified non-coding RNA, 336 nt
Filed under: soil metagenome
Description: partial contains 5.8S ribosomal RNA, internal transcribed spacer 2, and large subunit ribosomal RNA
Rfam family: 5.8S ribosomal RNA (bases 1-120)
Source: RNAcentral
GAUGAAGAACGUAGCGAAAUGCGAUAAGUAAUGUGAAUUGCAGAAUUCAGUGAAUCAUCGAAUCUUUGAACGCGCAUUGCGCCCGCCAGUAUUCUGGCGGGCAUGCCUGUUCGAGCGUCAUUUCAACCAUCAAGCCCCAGGCUUGCGUUGGGGACCUGCGGCUGCCGCAGGCCCUGAAAACCAGUGGCGGGCUCGCUGUCACACCGGGCGUAGUAGAUUUUAUCUCGCUCAGGGCGUGCUGCGGGUUCCGGCCGUUAAAAAGCCUUUUUUACCCAAGGUUGACCUCGGAUCAGGUAGGAAGACCCGCUGAACUUAAGCAUAUCAAUAAGCGGAGGA